RNAcentral lists this ribosomal RNA (488 nucleotides) under uncultured bacterium. Its description in RNAcentral is "partial 16S ribosomal RNA". It matches the Rfam family "Bacterial small subunit ribosomal RNA", at positions 28 to 507 of the family's 1533-position model. The record is from RNAcentral.
GACGAACGCUGGCGGCGUGCUUAACACAUGCAAGUCGAACGCGCCUGUCCUCUGGGUUUCUGGUGGGUGGGUGAGUGGCGAACGGGUGAGUAACACGUGAGUAACCUGCCCCCUUCUUCGGGAUAACGGUCUGAAAGGGCUGCUAAUACCGGGUAUUCACUGGUCUCCGCAUGGGGUCUGGUGGAAAGGUUUUUUUCUGGUGGGGGAUGGGCUCGCGGCCUAUCAGCUUGUUGGUGGGGUGAUGGCCCACCAAGGCUUUGACGGGUAGCCGGCCUGAGAGGGUGACCGGUCACAUUGGGACUGAGAUACGGCCCAGACUCCUACGGGAGGCAGCAGUGGGGAAUAUUGCACAAUGGGCGCAAGCCUGAUGCAGCGACGCCGCGUGAGGGAUGGAGGCCUUCGGGUUGUGAACCUCUUUCGCCCGUGGUCAAGCCGCGACGUGGGUCGUGGUGAGGGUAGUGGGUAAAGAAGCGCCGGCUAACUACGUG